This 1201-nucleotide ribosomal RNA is filed under the name uncultured cyanobacterium. RNAcentral's name for it is "bacterial SSU rRNA". It matches the Rfam family "Bacterial small subunit ribosomal RNA", at positions 27 to 1276 of the family's 1533-position model. The record is from RNAcentral. Lineage: Bacteria; Bacillati; Cyanobacteriota.
GGAUGAACGCUGGCGGCGUGCUUAACACAUGCAAGUCGAACGGGCCUUCGGGCUAGUGGCGGACGGGUGAGUAACGCGUGGGAAUCUGCCCUCAGGAGGGGGAUAACGGCCGGAAACGGCCGCUAAUACCCCAUAUGCCGAGAGGUGAAACGAAUUUCGCCUGAGGAUGAGCCCGCGUCUGAUUAGCUUGUUGGUGAGGUAAUGGCUCACCAAGGCAUCGAUCAGUAGCUGGUCUGAGAGGAUGAUCAGCCACACUGGGACUGAGACACGGCCCAGACUCCUACGGGAGGCAGCAGUGGGGAAUUUUCCGCAAUGGGCGCAAGCCUGACGGAGCAACGCCGCGUGAGGGACGAAGGCCUCUGGGCUGUAAACCUCUUUUCUCAAGGAAGAAGACAUGACGGUACUUGAGGAAUAAGCCACGGCUAAUUCCGUGCCAGCAGCCGCGGUAAUACGGGAGUGGCAAGCGUUAUCCGGAAUUAUUGGGCGUAAAGCGUCCGCAGGCGGCCUUGAAAGUCUGUUGUUAAAGCGUGGAGCUCAACUCCAUUUCAGCAAUGGAAACUACAAGGCUAGAGUGUGGUAGGGGCAGAGGGAAUUCCCGGUGUAGCGGUGAAAUGCGUAGAUAUCGGGAAGAACACCAGUGGCGAAGGCGCUCUGCUGGGCCAUAACUGACGCUCAUGGACGAAAGCCAGGGGAGCGAAAGGGAUUAGAUACCCCUGUAGUCCUGGCCGUAAACGAUGAACACUAGGUGUCGGGAGAAUUAACCCUUUCGGUGUCGUAGCCAACGCGUUAAGUGUUCCGCCUGGGGAGUACGCACGCAAGUGUGAAACUCAAAGGAAUUGACGGGGGCCCGCACAAGCGGUGGAGUAUGUGGUUUAAUUCGAUGCAACGCGAAGAACCUUACCAGGGUUUGACAUCCUGCGAAUCCCUUGGAAACGAGGGAGUGCCUUCGGGAACGCAGUGACAGGUGGUGCAUGGCUGUCGUCAGCUCGUGUCGUGAGAUGUUGGGUUAAGUCCCGCAACGAGCGCAACCCACGUUUUUAGUUGCCAGCAUUCAGUUGGGCACUCUAGAAAGACUGCCGGUGAUAAACCGGAGGAAGGUGUGGAUGACGUCAAGUCAUCAUGCCCCUUACAUCCUGGGCUACACACGUACUACAAUGCUACGGACAAAGGGCAGCAAACUCGCGAAAGCUAGCAAAUCCCA